RNAcentral lists this ribosomal RNA (253 nucleotides) under uncultured bacterium. Its description in RNAcentral is "partial 16S ribosomal RNA". It matches the Rfam family "Bacterial small subunit ribosomal RNA", at positions 524 to 776 of the family's 1533-position model. The record is from RNAcentral.
GACGAACCGUGCAAACGUUAUUCGGAAUCACUGGGCAUAAAGGGCGCGUAGGCGGCUUUCUAAGUCAGGGGUGGAAUCCGGCAGCUCAACUGUCGCAGUGCCUUUGAUACUGGAGAGCUCGAGGGAGGUAGGGGUCUGUGGAACUUCCGGUGGAGCGGUGAAAUGCGUUGAUAUCGGAAGGAACACCAGUGGCGAAAGCGGCUUCCUGGUCCAGCACCGACGUUCAGGCACGAAAGCGUGGGGAGCAAACAGG